UGAAUUUUUUUCUAAGUUUGUAAUUUUUUUUCAAAACAGCAUUUAUUUUCGCUUAAUGAGGGGGUGCGGCCUUUGACUGACAGGUGAUGAUCGCGGUGGAUUCUGGGAGCUGUGCUCCGGUGUUUAGCUGUCAGAUUUAGCGUUAGCAUGAGCGCUAGAUUUUGGUUUUUGUCCUGCUGCCGUGCUGUAAACUGUUCUAAUACGCUCUCUGGGAGUCAUCUGGUGUCUUUUCUCCGGUCUGCUUCUGGUGGUGAGCGGAUUUAUAAUCCAAAACAAUCCAACAUUUACAUUUAAAGGCAGUAAAAUUCUAAUUUUAACAUAUGAAGAUGACUCUUGCUGAUGUGAUUCAAUAAAAAUCAUGUUUAACAUA
Molecule: long non-coding RNA, 370 nt
Organism: Oryzias melastigma (Indian medaka)
Lineage: Eukaryota; Metazoa; Chordata; Actinopteri; Beloniformes; Adrianichthyidae
Exons: 2
Source: RefSeq, a predicted model, not a curated record